UUACCGAGUUUACAACUCCCAAACCCCUGUGAACAUACCAAUUGUUGCCUCGGCGGAUCAGCCCGCUCCCGGUAAAACGGGACGGCCCGCCAGAGGACCCCUAAACUCUGUUUCUAUAUGUAACUUUUGAGUAAAUCCAUAAAUAAAUCAAAACUUUCAACAACGGAUCUCUUGGUUCUGGCAUCGAUGAAGAACGCAGCAAAAUGCGAUAAGUAAUGUGAAUUGCAGAAUUCAGUGAAUCAUCGAAUCUUUGAACGCACAUUGCGCCCGCCAGUAUUCUGGCGGGCAUGCCUGUUCGAGCGUCAUUUCAACCCUCAAGCCCAGCUUAGUGUUGGGACUCGAGAUUUAAACCGAGUUCCCCAACCUGAUAUACGGUCACGUAGAGCUUCCAUAGUGUAGUAGUAAAACUUUUUUUAUCGGUUUUGGUCGCGGCCAUACCUCCCAGCCGCUAAUCCCCCAAUUUUUUGUGGUUGACCUCGGAUCAGGUAGG
Molecule: ribosomal RNA, 490 nt
Filed under: fungal sp. E14904N
Lineage: Eukaryota; Fungi
Description: eukaryotic LSU rRNA
Rfam family: 5.8S ribosomal RNA (bases 152-305)
Source: RNAcentral